GCUCUAGUACGAGAGGACCGGAGUGACGAACUCUGGUGUUCGGGUUGUCACGCCAGUGGCACUGCCCGGUAGCUAAGUUCGGAAUCGAUAACCGCUGAAAGCAUCUAAGCGGGAAGCGAGCCCUGAGAUGAGUCAUCCCUGACCCCUUGAGGGUCCUAAAGGGCCGUUGGAGACCACAACGUUGAUAGGUGGGGUGUGUAAGUGCAGCGAUGCAUUGAGCUAACCCAUACUAAUUACCCGUGAGGCUUAACCAUACAACACCCAAGAAGUGUUCUG
This 276-nucleotide ribosomal RNA is filed under the name Aeromonas salmonicida subsp. salmonicida. RNAcentral describes it as "partial 23S ribosomal RNA". It matches the Rfam family "Bacterial large subunit ribosomal RNA", at positions 2673 to 2925 of the family's 2925-position model. Lineage: Bacteria; Pseudomonadati; Pseudomonadota; Gammaproteobacteria; Aeromonadales; Aeromonadaceae. The record is from RNAcentral.